Molecule: ribosomal RNA, 1389 nt
Filed under: uncultured bacterium
Lineage: Bacteria
Description: bacterial SSU rRNA
Rfam family: Bacterial small subunit ribosomal RNA
Source: RNAcentral
UGCAGUCGUACGGUAACAGCCAAGCAGCUUGCUUCUUUGCUGACGAGUGGCGGACGGGUGAGUAAUGUCUGGGAAACUGCCUGAUGGAGGGGGAUAACUACUGGAAACGGUAGCUAAUACCGCAUAACGUCGCAAGACCAAAGAGGGGGACCUUCGGGCCUCUUGCCAUCGGAUGUGCCCAGAUGGGAUUAGCUAGUAGGUGGGGUAACGGCUCACCUAGGCGACGAUCCCUAGCUGGUCUGAGAGGAUGACCAGCCACACUGGAACUGAGACACGGUCCAGACUCCUACGGGAGGCAGCAGUGGGGAAUAUUGCACAAUGGGCGCAAGCCUGAUGCAGCCAUGCCGCGUGUAUGAAGAAGGCCUUCGGGUUGUAAAGUACUUUCAGCGGGGAGGAAGGGAGUAAAGUUAAUACCUUUGCUCAUUGACGUUACCCGCAGAAGAAGCACCGGCUAACUCCGUGCCAGCAGCCGCGGUAAUACGGAGGGUGCAAGCGUUAAUCGGAAUUACUGGGCGUAAAGCGCACGCAGGCGGUUUGUUAAGUCAGAUGUGAAAUCCCCGGGCUCAACCUGGGAACUGCAUCUGAUACUGGCAAGCUUGAGUCUCGUAGAGGGGGGUAGAAUUCCAGGUGUAGCGGUGAAAUGCGUAGAGAUCUGGAGGAAUACCGGUGGCGAAGGCGGCCCCCUGGACGAAGACUGACGCUCAGGUGCGAAAGCGUGGGGAGCAAACAGGGAUUAGAUACCCUGGUAGUCCACGCCGUAAACGAUGUCGACUUGGAGGUUGUGCCCUUGAGGCGUGGCUUCCGGAGCUAACGCGUUAAGUCGACCGCCUGGGGAGUACGGCCGCAAGGUUAAAACUCAAAUGAAUUGACGGGGGCCCGCACAAGCGGUGGAGCAUGUGGUUUAAUUCGAUGCAACGCGAAGAACCUUACCUGGUCUUGACAUCCACGGAAGUUUUCAGAGAUGAGAAUGUGCCUUCGGGAACCGUGAGACAGGUGCUGCAUGGCUGUCGUCAGCUCGUGUUGUGAAAUGUUGGGUUAAGUCCCGCAACGAGCGCAACCCUUAUCCUUUGUUGCCAGCGGUCCGGCCGGGAACUCAAAGGAGACUGCCAGUGAUAAACUGGAGGAAGGUGGGGAUGACGUCAAGUCAUCAUGGCCCUUACGACCAGGGCUACACACGUGCUACAAUGGCGCAUACAAAGAGAAGCGACCUCGCGAGAGCAAGCGGACCUCAUAAAGUGCGUCGUAGUCCGGAUUGGAGUCUGCAACUCGACUCCAUGAAGUCGGAAUCGCUAGUAAUCGUGGAUCAGAAUGCCACGGUGAAUACGUUCCCGGGCCUUGUACACACCGCCCGUCACACCAUGGGAGUGGGUUGCAAAAGAAGUAGGUAGC